This 446-nucleotide ribosomal RNA is filed under the name uncultured bacterium. RNAcentral's name for it is "bacterial SSU rRNA". It matches the Rfam family "Bacterial small subunit ribosomal RNA", at positions 331 to 793 of the family's 1533-position model. The record is from RNAcentral.
CCAGACUCCUACGGGAGGCAGCAGUGGGGAAUAUUGCACAAUGGGGGAAACCCUGAUGCAGCGACGCCGCGUGAGCGAUGAAGUAUUUCGGUAUGUAAAGCUCUAUCAGCAGGGAAGAAAAUGACGGUACCUGACUAAGAAGCCCCGGCUAACUACGUGCCAGCAGCCGCGGUAAUACGUAGGGGGCAAGCGUUAUCCGGAUUUACUGGGUGUAAAGGGGGCGCAGACGGCCAUGGCAAGCCCGGUGUGAAAGGCAGGGACAUAACCCCUGGACUGCACUGGGAACUGUCAGGCUGGAGUGCCGGAGGGGUAAGCGGAAUUCCUGGUGUAGCGGUGAAAUGCGUAGAUAUCAGGAGGAACACCGGCGGCGAAGGCGGCUUACUGGACGGAAACUGACGUUGAGGCCCGAAAGCGUGGGGAGCGAACAGGAUUAGAUACCCGGGUAU